AUUGAACGCUGGCGGCAUGCUUUACACAUGCAAGUCGAACGGUAACAGGCCUUCGGGUGCUGACGAGUGGCGAACGGGUGAGUAAUGCAUCGGAACGUACCCAGAGGUGGGGGAUAACGCAGCGGAAGCUGUGCUAAUACCGCAUGUGAUCUGAGGAUGAAAGCGGGGGACCGAGCAGCAAUGUUUGGCCUCGCGCCUUUGGAGCGGCCGAUGUCGGAUUAGCUAGUUGGUGGGGUAAAGGCCUACCAAGGCGACGAUCCGUAGCUGGUCUGAGAGGACGACCAGCCACACUGGGACUGAGACACGGCCCAGACUCCUACGGGGGGCAGCAGUGGGGAAUUUUGGACAAUGGGCGCAAGCCUGAUCCAGCAAUGCCGCGUGCGGGAAGAAGGCCUUCGGGUUGUAAACCGCUUUUGGCAGGAACGAAACGGUGUCCGCUAAUACCGGGCGCUAAUGACGGUACCUGCAGAAUAAGCACCGGCUAACUACGUG
Molecule: ribosomal RNA, 492 nt
Filed under: uncultured bacterium
Lineage: Bacteria
Description: partial 16S ribosomal RNA
Rfam family: Bacterial small subunit ribosomal RNA
Source: RNAcentral